RNAcentral lists this ribosomal RNA (367 nucleotides) under uncultured bacterium. Its description in RNAcentral is "partial 16S ribosomal RNA". It matches the Rfam family "Bacterial small subunit ribosomal RNA", at positions 338 to 721 of the family's 1533-position model. The record is from RNAcentral.
CCUACGGGCGGCUUCAGUGGGGAAUAUUGGGCAAUGGAGGAAACUCUGACCCAGCAACGCCGCGUGAAGGAUGAAGGUUUUCGGAUUGUAAACUUCUGUCGCGAGGGAUGAAGAAUGACGGUACCUCGUAAGAAAGCCCCGGCAAACUACGUGCCAGCAGCCCCGGUAAUACGUAGGGGGCGAGCGUUGUCCGGAAUGACUGGGCGUAAAGGGAGUGUAGGGGGCUUAUUAAGGUAUGUGUGAAAGCCCGCGGCCUAACCCCGGAAUUGCACAUAAAACUGGUUAGCUGGAGCGCAGGAGAGGUAAGUGGAAUUCCCGGUGUAGCGGUGGAAUGCGUAGAUAUCGGGCGGAACACCAGAGGCGAAGG